CCACAAUCCUGACUGAGUUCAUUCAACCUGCAGGAAACUGCAUGUCUAAUCCAUUAAGCAGCACAAAGAGAGAGGAAGACCUGACUGUUCUCACAGGGCAAUCGGAGAGGGACCUCUCCCCAUCUUAACUUACACACACACACACACACACACACACACACACACACACUGUGACAGAUUCACAUACAUGCCAUCGAUCACCUCAGUGGAGUUGAAAUUUGAAGCAGGAUGCAAAAAUAGUUUCUCCUCAGACAGUUCACAUACACACACUCAUACACUAUUAUUCAUACAGUAGAAUACACAACCCUGGGAGUAUUAUUUACACACUGUACACAUAACAGACCACGGUCGGUCUUUUUGACAGAGACACAGAGAGAGCGUGUCAAAAGUCCUUUAUCUUUUCAGUCAAAACAAUGUUCAUGUUUGAGGCCCAGCCUGGACGAGUCGAGCCACCAGAAUGGACCAGCCGUCUGGUCGCUCCUCACUUCUCCCAUCACCUCCACUUUUUAUCCUUCCCCUCGUCUCCUUCUGCUCUCCUUCUCCUCACACUUUGGUGGCAAGCGAAUGCAGCUCGGACUUCUGGGUCUGCGCGCUGAGGGUGGAUGAGGCAGAGCUGACGUGACCGUGCACAACCUUCUUCAGGCUGAGCAGGCAGAGGCAGCGCGAGCGGAAACGCAGGUCGAAGAAGGCAUAGAGGAACGGGUUGAGGCAGCUGUUGAUGUACGCCAGGCAGGUGGCAUACGGGUGCGCCAGCAGCAGGAAGUGCAGGAAACCACAGGACGUCGGAGCCAGCCCCAGGUAUGACAGCGCGUCCAUGCUCUUCAGCACAUGGAAAGGCGUCCAGCAGAGGGCGAACACCACCACCAGAGUGGUGAUGAUCUUCAGGAGGCGCCGCUUCUUCUGGUCCUCUUUGCGCAGGUGGCCAAAGUGGCGCGCCACCGUGCAGCCAAUCAAGCAGUAGCACACAGUCAUGGCCAUAAAGGGGAGCAAGAAGCCAAGAGCUGAGGAUGACAAGCUCAAACCGGCGAUCCAAAGUGACUCGUGGCGCUGAUUCAGGGUCACCAGGCUGAAGUCCAUGGCACAGGUAGUGCGGUUGCUGAUCGAAUCAUCCACCGUGGUACGGAAGAGCAGAGUAGGCGCAGCGAGAGUCCCGGAAAGCAGCCAAAUGGCGCCGAGCGAUACCAUCACGGUGCCUCGGAUCGAAGACGGUUGCUGCUUAGUGAGUGCACGAUGGCCAGGUAGCGAUCAAAGCUCAAGCAGGUGAGGCAAAAGACACUGGCAUACAUGUUCACCAGCACCACGUAGCUGCUGAUCUUGCAAAGCGCCACGCCGAAAGGCCAGUGGUACCCGAGUGCCGUGUAUGCAGCCCACAGUGGCAGGGUCACCACAAAGGUCAGGUCGGCCAAAGCCAGGUUGCCGAUGUAGACGUCUGCAGCACGGCGCUUGGACUUGGCCGAACGCCACAUGGUGAAGAUGACCAUCCCGUUCCCGGACAGACCAAGGAUGAAGAUGAGCAUGUAGAGGACAGGGAUGAGCGAGUAGGACGGCUCCCACUCGGAGUAGUCGCACGCCGUCUCGUUGUCUUCAUAAUAAUCGUAGCUGUCAGGGUAUUCCGUGGGUUCCAUUAGUUAAAGGUGAAGGGGUCCGGGUUCUACAAAGUUGUUAAAAAAAAGUCCUGUUUGAAGAAGUCUUCCUUUAGCGUUAGUCCAGGUGUGCUUUUAAAGCUGCAGAACCAGAAGUUGCUGGACUGCAAAAGGGCAACUUGUUGGCUUUCCUCAGUGAACAGAAGUCUCUCUGUGAAGUUCUGCACCAUACACACAUGGGCAGAAGGAGAGAGAGC
Molecule: long non-coding RNA, 1840 nt
Organism: Ictalurus punctatus (channel catfish)
Lineage: Eukaryota; Metazoa; Chordata; Actinopteri; Siluriformes; Ictaluridae
Source: Ensembl